Molecule: ribosomal RNA, 504 nt
Filed under: Bothrogonia ferruginea
Lineage: Eukaryota; Metazoa; Arthropoda; Insecta; Hemiptera; Cicadellidae
Description: partial large subunit ribosomal RNA
Source: RNAcentral
CCAAAACAUUUCCUUUAGUUUAUUUUUAAAGGUAAUUUCUGCCCUAUGAAUUUUAAAUGGCUGCAGUACCCUGACUGUGCAAAGGUAGCAUAAUAAUUAGUCAUUUAAUUGUUGACUUGUAUGAAUGAAUACAUGAGAUGUAAAUUUUAUUAAUUUUAAUGUUUAAAUUUUAUUUUUAGGUAAAAAAGCUUAAUUGAAUUUUAGGGACGAUAAGACCCUAUAGAACUUUAUAAGUUUAUUAAAUUAACUGAAUUUAGAAGUUUAUUUUAUUUAUUUUAUUAAAAUUUGUUUGGUUGGGGUGAUAAGUAAAAUUUUACUUUACUUUAUUUAAUCAUUAAAUUUAUGUUUUUAUUGAUCCACUGUUUAGAUAAAAAGAAAAAGUUACCUUAGGGAUAACAGCGUAAUUUUAGUGGGGAGUUCUUAUUUAUACUAAAGUUUGCGACCUCGAUGUUGAAUUAAGAUUAGUUUAGGGGGUAGGUGUCUAAAACUAAGUCGUCCGACCAA